RNAcentral lists this long non-coding RNA (879 nucleotides) under Nicotiana benthamiana. Its description in RNAcentral is "long non-coding RNA (NBEN_LNC019682)". The record is from RNAcentral. Lineage: Eukaryota; Viridiplantae; Streptophyta; Magnoliopsida; Solanales; Solanaceae.
AAAAUCUGCAGCGAUAAUCGAUUAUCGUAGGACGAUAAUCGAUUAACCUUUCAAAAAUAUAAACGUUGAAAGGCAACGGAUACUAAGAUAAUCGAUUAACCUAUGUCAGAUAAUCGAUUAUUUCAAUGAUAAUCGAUUAUCGCACUUUAGAUAAUCGAUUAACUUAAUUGAAAAACUAGACGUUGAGAAAUAACGGAUAAACGAUAAUCGAUUAUUGUUUGUAAGAUAAUCGAUUAUCUCACCUUGCGUAAAAUCGUCCAGUUUAAUGAAAUAUUAGAUAAUCGAUUAUCUCCUCACGAUAAUCGAUUAACUCAGUGGAAAAAAGAAAGACACUUUUAAUAACCUUUUUGGUUCAAUUUAAAACAUGAAAAUCAAUUUAUUCCAAGAGUAUAAAGAUUAUUUAUGAUAUGCAUAUGUUUUAUGAAAAUAAUUUUUGGAGAGAAGCCAAGACUUAAAAUUAGAGUAGGAUCAAGAUCACAAAUAUAAAUAAGACUCAAAAUAAAGGUCUUCAUUUACACUUUAAAACAAGAAAAUCAAUUUAUUCCAAGAGUAUAAAAAUUAUUUUUGAUAUGCAUAUGUUUUAUGAAAAUAAUUUUUGGAGAGAAGCCAAGACUUAAAAUUAGAGUAGGAUCAAGAUCACAAAUAUAAAUAAGACUCAAAAUAAAGGUCUCCAUUUAUUUUCAUUGCUUCAUUGCUUCUCUUGAUCUUUUCUUGAACUUCUUGUUUUUGUACUCCAACUUUGUUCCGUUAAUUGAUUGCAUAUCAUCUCUACAAAACAAAUAUACUUUAGUAUAAACAAAAGUAUAUCUCAAUAAUAACUUACGAUUAUUUGGCAUGUAUAAUAUUUUCCAUCUUCAUCGGUUUGUCAUUUAUCAAAAC